RNAcentral lists this long non-coding RNA (1364 nucleotides) under Sinocyclocheilus grahami. RNAcentral's name for it is "lncRNA (ENSSGRG00000028628.1)". The record is from RNAcentral. Lineage: Eukaryota; Metazoa; Chordata; Actinopteri; Cypriniformes; Cyprinidae.
CGCCUCCGGACAGGCCAUCUAUAUAUUAACGGUUGGUUUUGUAUGUUAUUAUUAAUCGGUGGUACAGAAAGCUGUCGCUUUGCAUGACUGAAAAAAGAGCAUUCGCAGCUAUUGUAACUGUUAACUGUACAGCUAACUGUAGCGUUGACAAUCUGCCGGAAACGUCGAGCUAGUUUCGUGUGCGUUUGUUGUUCUUCAUCUUCUCUUAAUUCUGCGCUGGGCUGUCGAAGCGGUCGGCCUGUACCGAAUCACACAUUCCUCCCGAUAGGGAACGGCGUGCAGGUGUUGUGUUCAGUGUAGCUACUCACUAGAGCCUGCAGAUACAGGAGACGCUCCAGCUCGUCCUUACAUUCCAUCAGCCCUGGAUUCAUACACGACGCUCUUCAAAAGGACUCGCCGACUGCUCUUUCUGCGUGUAUUUGCCAUGAGACCUCGAGGAUUUCUGAGGUCCGUCACACACACACACACACACUACCGUUUUACUGGGUAGGACACUCUCACUUUCUGCUUGACACACAUUACCCUACGCGCUGUAGGUAAAUCACUUAAAAACAAAAAACUAUGGGCAGGGAGAUCUGAAAACAUGAUUUGAAAAGAAAUGUUCACCCCAAAAUGAAAAAUGUGUAAUUUACUCUCUCACAUUGUUUUAAACAAGAUAUUCUGAAGAAUGUUGGUAACCAAACGGUUGACGGUAGCCAUUGUCUUCCAUAGUAUUUUUUCCAAAAUAUAGAGGUCAAUGGCUACCCUCAGCUGAAUGGUUACCAAGUCUUCAGAUGAACCAAGUCUUUGUUUGUUUUUUUUAACAAUAUGAGGGUGCGUAAAUUACAUUUUUAAGACAGCUAUAAUGUGAUUUCAUGUGCAUGGUUAAAUAUUUCAACAAGUAUAUGAUGACGGGUCAUUGUGCAGUGCGGUCACUGUCUGAGAAACCAAUAUAAGAGCACAGACGAGCUGCCGUGAAACGAGCUUCAUUCUGUGUCUCCAGCGGUUUCUUCAGAUGCUCUCGUCGUCGCUCAUGUCCCAGAUCUGCAGGACAGAAGAACAGGAGAUUAGAAAGCUGUUCAAACAAGAGCUGGCAGAAGUGUGAAACUGCAGCAUUAUCAUCUGAUGACGGUUCAUCUCAACAUGCAAAACUCUUCUCAAGCGCUAAUCCUGCACACAACACGCAUGUUUGAAGACUAAACUCCGAGACUGGAGAUAAGCGUCCUUUGAAGACAAAGAGGCCAGACGCGAGUGUGAGCGAGUUUGGAUGACGGAGGCACACCUGGCUGUCAAAAGCUCGGUCAUUGACAUGCUAAUAAAAGCCGAACAAAAAAACAACUUCAGCGGCCUUUUCACUUUGAAGUCUGCGCCAAGUCAAAAAAACU